AACGUAGGAGGCUAGCGUUAUCCGGAUUUACUGGGCGUAAAGCGCGUGCAGGCGGUUCGCUAAGUCAGGCGUGAAAUCUCUCGGCUUAACCGGGAGGGGACGAAUGAGACUGGCGGACUCGAGGGCAGGAGAGGGAAGCAGAAUUCCCGGUGUAGCGGUAAUAUGCGCAGAUAUCGGGAGGAAUACCAGUGGCGAAGGCGGCUUCCUGGCCUGUUUCUGACGCUAAGACGCGAAAGCUAGGGGAG
This 245-nucleotide ribosomal RNA is filed under the name uncultured bacterium. RNAcentral's name for it is "partial 16S ribosomal RNA". It matches the Rfam family "Bacterial small subunit ribosomal RNA", at positions 524 to 768 of the family's 1533-position model. The record is from RNAcentral.